AGCAGCAUGGCGCAGUUGGAAGCGCGCAGGGCCCAUAUGUAUUCAUGGUCCGAAUCAGAAUCUGACGGAUGUAACUACAUAGGUCACCCUGAGGUCACUUGAUCGAAACAAGUUGCUGCUA
Tephrocybe sp. NHM501043 is the source of this 121-nucleotide non-coding RNA. The record is from the annotation of a GenBank genome assembly. Lineage: Eukaryota; Fungi; Basidiomycota; Agaricomycetes; Agaricales; Lyophyllaceae.